CGCCACAGAUCAACACCCGCAUCACCGUCCCACCGCUGAUUCUCUCAUGCUCCCUGCUUGCCAACCAAGCUCCCCCUCCCUUCGUCACUCUCCUUUACUCGCAGUUUUUGGAAGGCGUGUCGCGUGGUCACGAUGGCAUACUCAACUGACCACAAAUCCUGGCUGGCCAAGUUGGUCGCCUUCGAUACCGUCAACGUGAAUCUGAACGUGGAGAUGCUUGAUUAUAUCAAGGGGUACCUGAAGACGCCCGGAAUCGACUCUACGCACAUCUACAACCCUGAGAGUGACCAUGUCAUCUCUGUGCCACAGUGCCCGGCAAGGACAGCCCCACGGAAAGCAGUGCUGUGCUCUUCGGCUACGCGGGUGUGCUGUCGGUAGACGGGCACGAGCGGGGCACCGACCCGUUCGUUCUUAUCGAGGAGGGUGGCAAGUUGUUUGGCCGCGGAACUUGCGAUAUGAGAGGCUUUGCUGCUCUCUGCGUGGCGCCGAUGCCGAGGCUCACGACGAUGAGGCAUACGAAGCCGGUGCACUUCACCUUCUUGUUGGAUGAUGAACGGUGACUGUGCGGGUGUUUUGUGCUUGGCCAACUACCUGAGGUAGUAUGGCUUCGAGGCGAACGGCUUCCUCGUCGGAGAUGGCUGCGUCGAUUUCUCGACAUGAACCAAGAUCAAGUCUUAGAAGGUGGCUGUGCACUGCAAGGUACUUCACUCGUCGAUGGUGCUGAUGAGCACGAGCUGCAACGGGUUCGAGUGCAAUGUGCCGACCAUCACGACGAUGCGCCAGAUCUCGGUGCGCAUCAAGAGGAGUGACACGCACAACCUCAACUACCGAUGCCUAUUAUCAUGCAUGCCCGUUGCCACGAUCACGGGUUGCAAUGCUGAGCCGACUUUACCCGUUGAGUUCGAGUUCGUCCUCAACAUGUGUAUCACCAAAACCCCAACGCAGAAACACGUAGGGGCUGAAGUGAAGGGGUAUAUUACUACGGUGAUCCUGUCUGCGAUGUGCGAGGGGUACGCGGAUGCUUCGAUUGAAAUCCACGACUGGGCUGUGCCGGCGUACCGCGCCAAUGAGAAGCAUCCGUUCACAAUGAUGCUGCGCGAGAUGAUGAAUGGCCACGCCAUCUGCAAGGCCGGCGGCUGUGCGGAGAGCGGGCUCUUUGCGGAGACGCUCAGCAUCCAGACUUUGAUUUUGGGCCCUGGUGGUAAGAGUGGUCACCGGGUGAACAAGUAAACGAAGGGGGAGCGCCCGUGGGGCCGUGUGGAACGCUCACAGAAGGUGUGGUGAUGCGUGUUGCCGUCAAUGCCGCAGGCUGAGGUUUCAGAUACGUAGCUCCCUGGGAGAGUGCUCUGGGCGCAGAGGGCGGUUGACGUGUGAGAGGAUGCGGUGUUUUGCCUGUGCCGUAGACAACCCAACGAGGAUGUGAAAGGCUCUCGCUGUCAGGUGCGCACACGCCGUUUCGAGGUGAGACCACACAAGCGCUGCAACAGCGUCUGCCCUUCUGUUCAACUUCUCCGUGCCAAUAUGUGCGUGCGGAUCAGCCGCCGGUGCGUGUCUGCCUUUGUGUGCUUUCCGUUUCUAAAUACGUACUGAAUAACCGUUUAGCGGCUCAAUCAUCAGCCGUGCGCGAGAGACACACCGUGGCGGCGGCAGUAUGGCCAUCAUUUUGGACAGCCCACCCACCCCCUCUUUAUCUGCAUUCCUGAGUGUGUGUGGGUGGCCUCUCUGCUCCCCUCUGGUAGGCUCUCUCUCACGUUGUUUUUAGAUCGCAUUCUCUGGCUUCGCCGCCCUUCACUGUGUGUGUAUACGUCCCCAUAUACAUGUAUAGAUAUGCAUACAUAUGUAUUCUUUUCGCUGUGCUCUUCCUCCCUCAUAUAUAGCGCGACAGCUUUUUUUUUUUAUGCGCCUCUCUGGGCUCCUUACGGAACGAUUGGACUGCCAAUAGCACAAGGUCAACGUGCACUGUCGUUUUCUUUUUCCUUGUUGAUGGUGUUGACGGCGGUGAUGGUGGUGGUGGGUGGAUGAUAUGGGGGAAGGGGCAAGCUACCUGUCUCUGCCUCAACAGAGGUGUGUCGCUGCUUUUUUUUUCCGUCCAAAUUUUACUUUGGAGCGUAUGAUUGUCUGCGCUUGUGAGUCCCUGCCUUUUUCUCGUGUGUGUCGAGAGGCCGGUGCCUGAGAUGCGUGCACGUCUGCCGACUGCUCUCCCUUCCCUCCGUCCAGCCCCGGACUUGCUUCUCUCUUCGGUACUCAAGAACUCUCGUCCCGUAUCUUGCGAAGUUGAGAUGUUUGGAGUGCCUUCCGCUUCCUCUUCCCCUUCCCCUUCCCUCCAGGCAGAACCAUCUCACGUGCGUUUCGCUCUCCGCUAACGACCUGGCGGAUUUCGUCUCCGGCUUUUACGAAAGAGCCAUUAUUUUUGCCCCGUCGUUCUCUUCGAUG
This 2433-nucleotide unclassified non-coding RNA is filed under the name Leishmania donovani. Its description in RNAcentral is "gene:LdHU3.31.4850(CDS-product:hypothetical_prote in)". Lineage: Eukaryota; Euglenozoa; Kinetoplastea; Trypanosomatida; Trypanosomatidae. The record is from RNAcentral.